This 370-nucleotide ribosomal RNA is filed under the name uncultured eukaryote. Its description in RNAcentral is "SSU rRNA". It matches the Rfam family "Eukaryotic small subunit ribosomal RNA", at positions 587 to 972 of the family's 1831-position model. The record is from RNAcentral. RNAcentral also lists the same sequence under 1 other name.
AGCUCCAUUAGUGUACAUCGAUAUUGCUGCGGUUAAAAAGCUCGUAGUUUGAUCUGGGUUGCAUGCGUUGAUACUCCUUUGGAGGUUAUCUUCGCUGCAGCUAAACUGCUGGUUAUCUGCAGGUGUUUUCGGACCCUGUAGCGGCUAGCGAGAUUACUAACACAAAAUCAAAUAGCUUAGAUAAGGCGUCUGCCUGAAUGUUCUAUGCUGGAAUAAUGGAAAAGGACUUCGGUCUUGUUUAUUGGUUCUUAGUUCGAAGUAAUGAUUAAUAGAGACGAUUCGGGGCUGUUCGUAUCAUUACGCGAGGGGUGAAAUCCGUUGACCGUAGUGAGACGUCCAAAAGCGAAAGCAUUCAGCAAGAACGUCUUCA